Molecule: ribosomal RNA, 253 nt
Filed under: uncultured bacterium
Lineage: Bacteria
Description: partial 16S ribosomal RNA
Rfam family: Bacterial small subunit ribosomal RNA
Source: RNAcentral
UACGUAGGGGGCUAGCAUUGUCCGGAAUCAUUGGGCGUAAAGCGCGUGUAGGCGGUCCGGUAAGUCCGCUGUGAAAGUCGAGGGCUCAACCCUCGAAUGCCGGUGGAUACUGUCGGGCUAGAGUGCGGAAGAGGCGAGUGGAAUUCCUGGUGUAGCGGUGAAAUGCGCAGAUAUCAGGAAGAACACCCGUGGCGAAGGCGGCUCUCUGGUACGUGACUGACGCUGAGACGCGAAAGCGUGGGGAGCGAACAGG